AUAUAACGGCAAAGCAGCAGUAAUGCUGUGACGCAAAGCUAUAGGGUCUUUUAUUAAGAUAGCCAGUUGC
RNAcentral lists this non-coding RNA (70 nucleotides) under human gut metagenome. RNAcentral describes it as "Cyclic di-GMP-I riboswitch". It matches the Rfam family "c-di-GMP-I riboswitch aptamer", at positions 6 to 83 of the family's 87-position model. Rfam says of the family: GEMM was predicted in a large-scale screen for bacterial structured RNA regulatory elements. Genes associated with GEMM are involved in a diverse array of functions, including chemotaxis regulation, signal transduction, secretion and chitin. The record is from RNAcentral.